Molecule: transfer RNA, 57 nt
Filed under: Iso rhothophilus (flower of the wave)
Lineage: Eukaryota; Metazoa; Chordata; Actinopteri; Atheriniformes; Isonidae
Description: tRNA-Val
Source: RNAcentral
UAGCCCACCCUUACAAAUUCAACACUUACAUAUAAAUAAACCCACAUACACACUUAA